CCCCCCGCCCUUGCAGGUGCUGCUCAAGAACCACUCCCUCCAAGAUGUUUUCCUGGAUUUCCUCAGCCUAAAAUAAUCCCUCUUUUUCCUGAGAGUGUUGGGCAGUGCUGAGAAAAGGUUUUUGGGGUCAGAGAUGUAAGGACUUCUCUGACUGGCUUCUCCCAACAGAACCAGAUUCCAGUUGUGGAGCAAGGGCCAUGCCAUCUGGAACAGAUGACCUCCAAGGACACCAUAGCAAAGAAAAGGAGAACUGGAAGCCCAUGUGCCUUAAUCCCCUCAUCCCAGAGCAAUGCAAGAAUGGGCUAAUACAAAGUUGAUUCCAAC
Molecule: long non-coding RNA, 324 nt
Organism: Cebus imitator (Panamanian white-faced capuchin)
Lineage: Eukaryota; Metazoa; Chordata; Mammalia; Primates; Cebidae
Exons: 5
Source: RefSeq, a predicted model, not a curated record